AGGGGAAAGGGGACCUGGUGGCGAGCCCUGUUAUGAGCUAUAGUUCAAGCUUCGCGUUUCCCCGGUAUCUUUUGAAACGUAAAAUCCCACAACAAAUAGCUCGGUAACGUAUAACCGGGAUGAAGCUUCGAUUCCGAUUUAAGCGCUCCGGUUUGCUCGAGUCUUGCUAUUUUCUGCAUUUGUUUUGACUGCUCUCAUCAUUCAAGAUUGACGCUUGGAUGGGACCCAGAUGCCCUGUCCAAACAGUAGGACAAUGGUUGGAAAGCAUUGGGCUACCUCAGUACGAGAACCACCUGACGGCUAAUGGAUUUGACAAUGUACAGUUUAUGGGAAGCAAUGUUAUGGAAGAUCAGGAUUUGUUGGAAAUUGGAAUCCUUAACUCUGGUCACAGAC
Molecule: long non-coding RNA, 393 nt
Filed under: Rattus norvegicus (Norway rat)
Lineage: Eukaryota; Metazoa; Chordata; Mammalia; Rodentia; Muridae
Description: long non-coding RNA NONRATT025718
Source: RNAcentral